AGCUAAUACCGGAUAAUAUUUUGAACCGCAUGGUUCAAAAGUGAAAGACGGUCUUGCUGUCACUUAUAGAUGGAUCCGCGCUGCAUUAGCUAGUUGGUAAGGUAACGGCUUACCAAGGCAACGAUGCAUAGCCGACCUGAGAGGGUGAUCGGCCACACUGGAACUGAGACACGGUCCAGACUCCUACGGGAGGCAGCAGUAGGGAAUCUUCCGCAAUGGGCGAAAGCCUGACGGAGCAACGCCGCGUGAGUGAUGAAGGUCUUCGGAUCGUAAAACUCUGUUAUUAGGGAAGAACAUAUGUGUAAGUAACUGUGCACAUCUUGACGGUACCUAAUCAGAAAGCCACGGCUAACUACGUGCCAGCAGCCGCGGUAAUACGUAGGUGGCAAGCGUUAUCCGGAAUUAUUGGGCGUAAAGCGCGCGUAGGCGGUUUUUUAAGUCUGAUGUGAAAGCCCACGGCUCAACCGUGGAGGGUCAUUGGAAACUGGAAAACUUGAGUGCAGAAGAGGAAAGUGGAAUUCCAUGUGUAGCGGUGAAAUGCGCAGAGAUAUGGAGGAACACCAGUGGCGAAGGCGACUUUCUGGUCUGUAACUGACGCUGAUGUGCGAAAGCGUGGGGAUCAAACAGGAUUAGAUACCCUGGUAGUCCACGCCGUAAACGAUGAGUGCUAAGUGUUAGGGGGUUUCCGCCCCUUAGUGCUGCAGCUAACGCAUUAAGCACUCCGCCUGGGGAGUACGACCGCAAGGUUGAAACUCAAAGGAAUUGACGGU
Molecule: ribosomal RNA, 770 nt
Filed under: uncultured bacterium
Lineage: Bacteria
Description: bacterial SSU rRNA
Rfam family: Bacterial small subunit ribosomal RNA
Source: RNAcentral